GUAGCCUCUGCUUGCAGCAACUAGAGAAACCUCCUGUGCAGCAAAAAAGCCCCAGCGCAGUCAAAACAUAAAAUAAAUAAAUCUUUUUUUUUUUUUUAAGGGAAAAAAGAGAAAAUACCCGGGGUGGGGGGAGGGGAAUGAAGUUAAUUCUCUCACAUACUUUUAAAGAAUCAUGUCUCUCUAAAACAUUUUAAGAUGCAACUGUCUGAAUUUUAAUAUUGUGUGUGCUUUACUUUUGCAAAGAUUUUUAUUAAUAUGCCCAAAAGGCCGAUGGUCCAUUCGUUUUCAUGAAUCCAAACCAGGUUCUCUAUUUAGUUUUUUUAAGUGAUAAUAAUUAAGGGAUAUCCACGUAAACGAAGAAACAAAAAUACUUCUUUUUGUUAUUGCUUUAGAAAGGAUAUCUUCUAACUUUUUCACGUCUUCCUUCUGACCACAAUCCAAGUAUUUUCAAAAACAGAGUAUUAAAGCAUCGAGUAGGCGGUAACCUAGAAGCCUGAUUACCUAACAACGCUGCUAAUAGGCUGCAGUUACCCUCAGAGCCGAGCGUCAAAGAAACAUCAGACUUUAUGGCUGGUCCUCUGAGCAGCUUCCGAGAUGCCGCGAACCCCUCCCAGUGUUCCCCGGUCGUCUGGCAACCUGGGCACGCCGCGGUUUCGACCCCGCCCCCCGCUACCAUGGCGACGCGGGCUCCGGGUGGUGCUCGAGCCUCCCAGACACAACUCCGCGCUUGCGCUGCACCUGCUGGGGCCGCGGCAACUCCUCAAACCUCCUGCUCUGCCAGUGCUGCGGCCGUGCUCUCACGCCGCUCCUUCGCCUACUCUCAGCGUCGCUUUAGAGUGUGAACGGACGCGGGAUUUCAACUACCUGCUGCUUGGCGAUCCCCUCCCCAAGAGUGAGGGCGGAGGGACCGCCGGCGCAGAAACCCGCUUACCUUUCUCAGCAUCCCUCCACGUCAGCGGGGUCUCCGGCGGGAUCGCCCACCCCGCGCCGAGCUCGGGGCCCACUGUGAGGAAGGUUUCUGGUGCUGGCCGUCAGUUUGUCUGUGAGAGCAUGCAGAAGGUGCUUCUGGAAUUAAGAUCACCCUUCCACAAAGGAUGAGGAAGAGAGCAAAGAUGUGGAAGAGGGAGGGUAGGGAGGUCCAGCUGUGAUGAGUCAGCUGCCCUGUGACGCAGCUCUGAAUCAGGAGCACAGGGACCCAGAAAAGAGCCGGCCAGGCACCCACCCCAGAGAUGCCAUCUAGACCUCAAGGAAGUAGCCGAACCCUAAUGAGGCUCCUCAUUAGCAUGUGCUGAACACAGUAAAAUGUUUGUACACUUGUCUGGAGAUCUUCAAUCUUAUCAGGGACACAGUACUUUGUUAGGUACUGUUGUCUAUGAGGUUUGGCUCAAUGACCACUCUUGUUCAUUCUUCGGUACUAUGAUCAUCUGUAGUCAGAUAAUUUGGAUAGAUGUUUCUUCUGCAUUUGAAAUACACAGAAAUGCACUGUAUUCCCUCCGUGGAUUCCCAAGUUUAUCCAAAAGAAAUGUUAGGCUAAUUAUAUAGGAAGAUCUUUAUCUAAGCCAAAGGCAGGCAGAAAUACACAAGGUAGGCUCUCUCCAAAUUUCAGAAUGCCAUGUUAUUCCCAUAAAUUGCUCUAAUGCAUUAUUGGGACUUGAAUCAAAUGAGAGGAAAUCAAAAGUGGGUAAGAAAGACUCAUAUCUACUGCCCUAAAUUAUUCUAAGCAUCAAAUAAGCAUGUUACCUUGGGGUCCUAAAAGUCACUUUUUAUCAUUUUAAUUGCAUACCCCCAGAGAAGCAGACACAUAAGCAAAACCGACAAACUCUGACAGUGUCAUUAACCACCAGUGCCAAACUUGAUCACUGUAGCACAGGAUUCCCCUCGUGGUGGUGCUGCUCUGUACAAGCAGGCUGCCCUCCACCUACCAGGUAGACUCAGAGAGGAGGGAGGUGGGAUUGAAUUUGAGGUUUCUUAGCAAAUUAACCCGAGUGAGCCUUUAGGAAGUCAGUCAGAUUUCCCCCAAAGCAUUAAUUGUGCAUAUCACUCUGUUGCUUUUGAAGACAUAAGUUGUUACUCUCCACUUUGACUUUUGUUCACUAUUUCAUUCAGCAACUGUCAGUCGAGUAACUAUGUAUAAGGUGAGAUGCCAGGCACCUGGGGAGUUUUUUUUGGUAAAACAAUUGUCCAUAAGGACUUAAAAAUAUAGUGAGAAGAUAACAUCUGUGUGUAUGUCAGUUUUCUAUAAAUUAAGUUGCUUCAGUGUAGCUUUAAAAGAUACACAGUGUGUUACAAAAACACGAUAACUAUGCAUGGUGAUGAAUGUUAACUAGACUUCUUAUCAUUAUUUUGCAGUAUAUACAAUAUCUGGGCUUCCCUGGUGGCUCAGUGGUAAAGAAUCUGCCUGCCAAAGCAGGAGACACUGGUUUGGUCACUGAAUGGGGAUGAUCCCCUGGAGUAGGAAAUGGCAACCCACUCCAGUACUCUUGCCUCGGAUAUCUCAUGGACAGAAGAGCCUGGCAGGCUACAGUCCAUGGGGUCACAAAGAGUCAGAGUCAGACCUGACUGAGCAACUGAGCACACAGGAUGGCAUAUGCAAUACACAUAUCAAAUUACUAUUUGUACACCUGAAACAUUUAAUGUUACAUGUCAGUUUAUCUCAAUUUAAAAAGGGCAAUUUCCAACCAAAAGAAGACACAAUUUGAGGAAUUAUGUGAAACAUGGUUUUAUAAAGCCAAGAAUCCAACUGUAAUAUGAAUAACAGCCUUUACUUGAUUUUUAACUUGGAAUACUGGUAUAAAACAUAUUUGUAAAGUUGAGAGGAGUCUGAGAAAUGGCAGAUUUCUUCCUGAAAGUUUUUCUGGAUGACCUGGGUGGGGAAAGGUGAUGGAGACGACAAGGGAUUGGACAAGGACAUGGAGAAAAGAGGUAGGGAGAUGGCCAGGGUGGGAAUGGGGACCCCCAAGAGUGGGGAGAGAUGAGGACACCAAGUUCAAAGGAGCCUCUAACUCAAGGCAGAGAGGUUCUGAUAAAUAUGAUUCAGUGCCCAGUGUCCCCUGAGAGGGGCUGGAGGCUAUGAUCGGUGGUCAUAGUUCAGAACUCCCAUCUUGGCAGCAGAACAAGCACAGAUGUUAGUUGUCCAGGAAUUGUUGCCAUGGGGCUCAGCCCAGGUACAGGAGGGUCAGACAAGUUCAAGGAAUGUGGAGAGAGAGAAAGUCAGCUCAGGAGGAGAUGGUUGGGAACAGUCUCCAAUGGACACAAAUCAAGUAAAGGCUGUUACCUGAGACAUGAAGGAAGUGAGAUGAGCUGGGCUGCUCUGUGGGGGAGACUUUCAGAAAGAGAGCCAGCAAGUGUGCGAAGCCAGAGAUGCACAGUUUAAUGGGCUAAAAGCAUUGGGACUCACUUGUCUGCUCAUGUCUUCUCCUUGCCACUAGAAUGAAGCACCACCGUUUACCCAGUAAGCUGAAAACUCCCCCACAAAGCCUUAAGAGAUUUAGCGUGUCUCUGAGAUUACAGUCCAGAGCAGACUGUUAUCUUUCUUUAAAGUGUAAUCACAUAAGUAAGACACAUGGAUCGUGAAUGUACAGUUUGAUAAGCUUUGAUAAAUGUAUACACUUGUGUAAUUACCACCUUAAUAAAGACAGAGCAGAAAUUUCCCUCA
This 3655-nucleotide long non-coding RNA is filed under the name Bos indicus x Bos taurus (hybrid cattle). Its description in RNAcentral is "lncRNA (ENSBIXG00005000212.1)". Lineage: Eukaryota; Metazoa; Chordata; Mammalia; Artiodactyla; Bovidae. The record is from RNAcentral.